Transfer RNA from Schizopora paradoxa, 98 nucleotides. It matches the Rfam family "tRNA". From Rfam's summary of the family: Transfer RNA (tRNA) molecules are approximately 80 nucleotides in length. NCBI's taxonomy places the organism in Eukaryota, Fungi, Basidiomycota, Agaricomycetes, Hymenochaetales, Schizoporaceae. The record is from Rfam.
GGCAAGAUGGCUGAGCGGUCCAAGGCGCUGUGUUCAGGCGAACAAUAGAUCCCCUUUCGCAGUCCGAAAGGGCGUGGGUUCGAAUCCCACUCUUGUCA